Molecule: transfer RNA, 84 nt
Filed under: Nitratiruptor sp. YY08-10
Lineage: Bacteria; Pseudomonadati; Campylobacterota; Epsilonproteobacteria; Nautiliales; Nitratiruptoraceae
Also listed under: 1 other name
Description: tRNA-Leu
Rfam family: tRNA
About the family: Transfer RNA (tRNA) molecules are approximately 80 nucleotides in length. Their secondary structure includes four short double-helical elements and three loops (D, anti-codon, and T loops).
Source: RNAcentral
GCGGCAGUGGCGGAACUGGUAGACGCGCAAGGUUGAGGGCCUUGUGGGAGUUAUCCCGUGGAGGUUCGAGUCCUCUCUGCCGCA